UGUAGAAGAGCAAUAUAAUUUCACAAGUUUAUUUGAUGUUGCCAUUACAUUACAAGGGACUUAAAAUGCGUUAAGAUAUUGAAUUUAGUAGCUGGAACAGUAAAGUGUACAAUAGGCCAGAACAUACAGUUGUAGUUGAUUAGUUAGGGUGCUGACUCAUGCAUAAUGCAAUCUACGCUAUGAUUGGUUGCUGUAAGUAUAAAGUGGGAGUUUCCCUUUUUUCCCCCUUUUUCUUCUCUGUGUUCUAUAUACUGUUUAAUUUAUCUCCCUUGUUCCUGUGUUCCUGACUAUCUUAUGUUUUUCUUUCUUUCUGGAUGAUGAUAAAUACUGCUAUAAAUUUAAAUGUUAAAUAUACAAAGUAUUUAAAAGACGAGUUUGUGUAGGUGUCUCCCACUUCAUUUGGACAGCUGCUACGCAAUUCCCUAACAAAAUGCAAGGUAAAAAUGUUACCUACUUUUUCCUUUAGGACUGGAGUAAGGCCAAUAGAUGCUCUCAGCACAAUUUAAAAUGGAUGCCCCCCAAACCUUCCUUUGCUUCACUGAUAAAAUAUUAAGACUCAAUAAAUGCUAAAGGUGAAAUAAAAUAUUAAAUAAAGAUUAAAAAUUCAAUUUUCUUUCAGGCAAUCAUCCAAGCCAGUCCCCAGAACUGUAUUAAAUGUAAUUUUUUUAAAUUUUUAUUUAUAUCAUUAACUAGAAAUAAGCAAUAUAAGCAAAUUUUUACUUAUAACUAUGGCAAUGGAAAUAUGCUAAUUUUCAACAGUUUUCAAUGCAUUUUAUAAUAAACUUAUAAUAAUGAACUUGUAACUUGUUUCUCUUGGUACACUAAUGCACAUGCUUAUUUUGUUUAAGGGUUAAUCCAGGGCUGUUUUUUUUCGAUAGCAGGAAAGGACUAAGACAUAAAAACGCCUGAGGUUAAUAAAAUAGAUUUUCUUCUUCACUGUCUGUCUUUAGAUUAUGUGGAAAUUAUCAGUUUUCUUCAAAUAAAAACAAAUAUAAGCUUGAGAUUCCCUGCAGACAUUUCAUCUCAGAAAGCAGACACAGAGAAAGGUAGAAAAACUUUUAUUGUUUGACAUAUUAAAAAGAGCUGUCCAAAAAGAAGUGUAGCCAUUAAUUUUCUAAUGACUCCAAAAGGCAGAUUCCAAAGAAAGGAAUUAAUGGAAAGCUAGACUGAUUAAAAUGAAAGAUGGAAAUUAAGUCACGUUUUAUCCAGAUACUCCAACUCUGCAACAGAGAAACUGAAUACUAUAAAGAGGGCUUUCAUAAAGACCACCUGAAUUUGGCAGGUUUGACUAUAUAGUGCUUUUGAAAACUAGUGGAAGAUUUACAAAAGGGAUUU
This is a non-coding RNA of Notechis scutatus (mainland tiger snake), 1335 nucleotides long. NCBI's taxonomy places the organism in Eukaryota, Metazoa, Chordata, Lepidosauria, Squamata, Elapidae. The record is from RefSeq and is a predicted model, not a curated record.